CGACGGCUUUCCCCUUACGCUACCGCCUCCUCUCCUUUCUUCCUCACUAUGGUCGCGUCUUUGUCGCCACCCGAUCCCUCGCCCUCUACUUUCUCUCUCUACAUCGCCUUUGCCCUACAUUGCCGAUGCCGCCCGAAGCCGUGUCGCCCGAUGGACGCUGAGCCACAACAUCACUAAUUCCAGUUGCUUUGCUGUUGUAGGAAGGGAGGAGCUACCACCUCUUUCGGCGAAUGCUUGAGUUCAAUUGUCGGCAGAUUUGCACCUAGGGCAUCGCCACCUUCUCUGCUCAUGUUGUUCCCAGCUGAUCGACCACCGACGCUCUUUGUCGAUGUAUUCUUGGAGUACCGACCCGUACCACCACCGGGAGGCGACCAACUGAGCUGAGGCAUUCAAACAGCGGGUUGUUGAAAUCUCACUGAGCAGAUCCCUGAUCUCUUCGAGGCUUAUUUCUGUGAGGGAUCCAAGUUGGAGAAGGGGGUUGAUUAGGGUAAGUUUUAGUUCCAAUUGUAAGGAUUUCAUAAAUCUAAUUGCUCUACGAGUUUUUUCUGGGUUUCAGAUCUUUACCACAGCAAACAGGCAUCCUUGAGGUGGUUAGGUUAUUGGAUGGAUACAUCAUUUCUGGAGAAGGGGCUAAGUUUUGUGCUAUUGAGAAUUUUUGAUUUGAGACAAGCGUCUCGAUGUGGGAUUGUUUAGCACGAUCAACAGAUAAAGGCGGGUACUUCUUGUUUUAUCUUUUUAGUACAUUGAUCUUAAUGCUUGAACUAUAUAUUCGGAUAGUUACUGUGUUUAUCUUGACACCA
Molecule: long non-coding RNA, 800 nt
Organism: Zingiber officinale
Lineage: Eukaryota; Viridiplantae; Streptophyta; Magnoliopsida; Zingiberales; Zingiberaceae
Exons: 2
Source: RefSeq, a predicted model, not a curated record